Molecule: long non-coding RNA, 538 nt
Organism: Macrosteles quadrilineatus (aster leafhopper)
Lineage: Eukaryota; Metazoa; Arthropoda; Insecta; Hemiptera; Cicadellidae
Exons: 3
Source: RefSeq, a predicted model, not a curated record
CUAGACACAAGUAGCUACUCUGUAGGAGAUGUUCUGAGAGGUAACUGCUCCUCACCUCCCUCCAACGCUCCAGCCAACGUGACGUGGUACCUUAAUGGAGAGAAGGAAGAGCCUAGCCUGGUGACACACCAGUCAGGUAUCAACGGCACUGUGACAGUGUCUGCACUCUCUAUGGAGUUGUCUGCUGACAGUUUCCCUGGGGGUAAGCUGCAGAUCCGCUGUAUCGCCGACCUCUUCUCCAUCACCCAGACGGCCAGAGAGAUGUGGCUGGACGAAGACAGGCCUCGGAUUGCGUCUGUCAUGGGGUCACGAGACUCUGCUGAGAGAAGUAUGGCCAGUUCUACAUUACUUCUUCAGACAGCGCUGCUAGCACUGUUAGGCUGCAACAGAUAGCAUCAUGUCUGCGUGAUGUAAUCAAAUGGCUGUGAGCUCUUCGGACUGUGUCUACCCACUGUGUCCCAGUGUCAAACAUCUGUAUAUUUGUCAAUACCUGCUGUAUUAUAUCAGUGUUUUGUAGAUUAAUAAUUAAAUUUGUUCA